Molecule: ribosomal RNA, 867 nt
Filed under: Macrobrachium australiense
Lineage: Eukaryota; Metazoa; Arthropoda; Malacostraca; Decapoda; Palaemonidae
Description: bacterial SSU rRNA
Rfam family: Eukaryotic small subunit ribosomal RNA
Source: RNAcentral
UGGUAGUGACGAAAAAUAACAAUGCGGGACUCUUCCGAGUCUGCGUAAUUGGAAUGAGCACACUUUAAAUCCUUUAGCAACAACCAAUUGGAGGGCAAGUCUGGUGCCAGCAGCCGCGGUAAUUCCAGCUCCAAUAGCGUAUAUUAAAGUUGUUGCGGUUAAAAAGCUCGUAGUUCGAGGUCAGUUGCGGACUGUAGUGGGAGGUCACCGCCCGGUGCUUCCCCUGUAGGCUCCGAACAGCUUCUUUAAUUGGAAGCCAAGCCGGUUCUGGCGGGGUGCUCUUUACCGAGUGUCCCGCACGGCCGGCCAGUUCACCUUGAAUAAAUGAGAGUGCUCAAAGCAGGCUACUCUGGAAUACAAUGCCCGAAUGUUACCUGCAUGGAAUGAUGGAAGAUGAUCUCGGUUCCAUUUUGUUGGUUUAGGGAGCCAGAGGUAAUGAUAAAGAGGGACUGUCGGGGGCAUCCGUACUACGACGCGAGAGGUGAAAUUCAGUGACCGUCGUAGGACGAACAACAGCGAAAGCAUUUGCCAAGAAUGUCUUCGUUGAUCAAGAACGAAAGUUAGAGGAUCGAAGGCGAUCAGAUACCGCCCUAGUUCUAACCCUAAACGAUGCUGACUAGCAAUUCGCCGUCGUUAUUCCCAUGACGUGGCGAGACGCCCCCGGGAAACCUCAAGUUUUUGAGUUCCGGGGGUAGUAUGGUUGCAAAAGUGAAACUUAAAGGAAUUGACGGAAGGGCACCACCAGGAGUGGAGCCUGCGGCUUAAUUUGACUCAACACGGGGAACCUGACCAGGCCCGGACACCAGAAGGAUUGACAGAUUAAGAGCUCUUUCUCGAUUUGGUGGGUGGUGGUGCAUGGCCGUUCUU